Molecule: ribosomal RNA, 252 nt
Filed under: uncultured soil bacterium
Lineage: Bacteria
Description: partial 16S ribosomal RNA
Rfam family: Bacterial small subunit ribosomal RNA
Source: RNAcentral
AGGAUGAACGCUGGCGGCGUGCUUAACACAUGCAAGUCAAGGGGGCCCAGCAAUGGGCAACCGGCGAACGGGUGCGUAACACGUGAGCAACCUACCGAAUUGUGGGGGAUAGCCGGCCCAACGGCCGGGUAAUACCGCAUACGCUCGAGACCAGGCGUUUGGACUCGAGGAAAUUUACGGAGCAAUUCGAGGGGCUCGCGGCCUAUCAGCUAGUUGGUGAGGUAACGGCUCACCAAGGCGACGACGGGUAGC